This 254-nucleotide ribosomal RNA is filed under the name uncultured bacterium. RNAcentral describes it as "partial 16S ribosomal RNA". It matches the Rfam family "Bacterial small subunit ribosomal RNA", at positions 524 to 776 of the family's 1533-position model. The record is from RNAcentral.
UACGGGGGGAGCAAGCGUUGUCCGGAUUUAUUGGGCGUAAAGAGCUCGUAGGCGGUUCAGUAAGUCGGGUGUGAAAACUCUGGGCUUAACCCAGAGCCGCCACCCGAUACUGCUGUGACUAGAGUCCGGUAGGGGAGUGGGGAAUUCCUAGUGUAGCGGUGAAAUGCGCAGAUAUUAGGAGGAACACCGGUGGCGAAGGCGCCACUCUGGGCCGGAACUGACGCUGAGGAGCGAAAGCGUGGGUAGCAAACAGG